UAUUAUUUUAAUUGUAAAAAUAUAAACUUGAGUAGUAAUAGUUAGGAUCUUGAAACUCAAAGAAUUUGGCGGUGCUUUAAUCUUUUCAGAGGAAUCUGUUCUAUAAUUGAUAAUACACGUUAGAUGAUACUUGGUUUUGUAAUAGCAGUUUGUAUACCGCCGUCAUAAGAUUAUCUUUUUAGAGUUUAAUUUUCUUAAUAUUAUAAGAUAGUAUGUCAGGUCAAGGUGCAGUUUAUAACUAAGGAGAAAUGGAUUACAAUAGAAUAAUUUAUAAUGGAUUUUUUAAUGAGAAUUAGAAAUGAAGGUGGAUUUGAAGGUAAUAUUAUUAAAUUAUGAUAAUAUGAUUUAAGCUCUGAAGCAUGUACACAUCGCCCGUCGCUCUCGUUAUAAAAUGAG
RNAcentral lists this ribosomal RNA (396 nucleotides) under Montezumina latipennis ssp. 'unguicera'. RNAcentral's name for it is "partial 12S ribosomal RNA". It matches the Rfam family "Microsporidia small subunit ribosomal RNA", at positions 752 to 1220 of the family's 1311-position model. The record is from RNAcentral. Lineage: Eukaryota; Metazoa; Arthropoda; Insecta; Orthoptera; Tettigoniidae.